AUUAAGUGAAUAGGUGUACAAGGAAAACCUAUGUUAUAUGUGCCUUCAAUGAAGGGAAGCUGCUGCUGGUCCUGCUCCUCCUCGAAGUAAAACGGAUCUCCCACGGUCACGUCACCGUCUGCGCUCGAUCGGCACCACACAACAACACGCAUCCAGGUUCAAUCAUACAAGAAAACAAUCCUUUAAUUAGAACAGUACAUCAACAUAUCAAAAACAAAAUAAAAUAUUUAAAAACAAAAUCUAUGUUUCGCUAUGAAC
This 258-nucleotide long non-coding RNA is filed under the name Sorghum bicolor (sorghum). RNAcentral's name for it is "long non-coding RNA (SBIC_LNC011686)". The record is from RNAcentral. Lineage: Eukaryota; Viridiplantae; Streptophyta; Magnoliopsida; Poales; Poaceae.